ACAUCCAAGGAAGGCAGCAGGCGCGUAAAUUACCCAAUCCUGACACAGGGAGGUAGUGACAAUAAAUAACAAUGCCGGGCCUUUGUAGGUCUGGCAAUUGGAAUGAGAACAAUUUAAACCCCUUAUCGAGUAUCAAUUGGAGGGCAAGUCUGGUGCCAGCAGCCGCGGUAAUUCCAGCUCCAAUAGCGUAUAUUAAAGUUGUUGCAGUUAAAAAGCUCGUAGUUGGAUUUGUGGCUGUCUCGAGCGGCCUAGCACCUAGUGUUAGUGCCUGCUUGGGUCGCCAUCCUUGGGUGGAGCCUGUGUGGCAUUAGGUUGUCGUGCAGGGGAUGCCCAUCGUUUACUGUGAGAAAAUUAGAGUGUUCAAAGCAGGCUUAUGCCGUUGAAUAUGUUAGCAUGGAAUAAUAAGAUAGGACCUCGGUACUAU
RNAcentral lists this ribosomal RNA (424 nucleotides) under uncultured diatom. Its description in RNAcentral is "SSU rRNA". It matches the Rfam family "Eukaryotic small subunit ribosomal RNA", at positions 412 to 839 of the family's 1831-position model. Lineage: Eukaryota; Bacillariophyta. The record is from RNAcentral.